This 1571-nucleotide ribosomal RNA is filed under the name Pristimantis sp. SBH-2008. RNAcentral describes it as "16S ribosomal RNA". It matches the Rfam family "Bacterial large subunit ribosomal RNA", at positions 380 to 2925 of the family's 2925-position model. The record is from RNAcentral. Lineage: Eukaryota; Metazoa; Chordata; Amphibia; Anura; Strabomantidae.
CUAAAAAUCUAGCCUUCCCCCGCCCCCCUUUUUUUAAAAAUCUUAACUAAAAUAUUCUAAAAGCCCAGUAAAGAAGAUUAAAAACCUUUUAAGAGCUAUAAACUUGUACCGCAAGGGAUAGAUGAAAUAAAAAUGAAACAAAUCUUAAGCACAAAAAAGUAGAGAUUCACCCUUGUACCUUUUGCAUCAUGGUUUAGCCAGUCUAAUUAGGCAAAGAGAUCUUAAGUCUAACCCCCCGAAACUAAGUGAGCUAUUUUAAGGCUGCUUACUGAGCUAACCCGUCUAUGUUGCAAAAUAGUGGGAAGACCUUAAAAUAGAGGUGACAAAUCUAACGAACUUAGUUAUAGCUGGUUUCUCAAGAAAAGAAUUUUAGUCCAACCUAAAGAAAACUUAAACACCCUAAUUAAUCUUAUAACUUUAGAGCAAUUCAAAUGAGGUACAGCCCAUUUGAUACAGGAUACAACCUUCACUAACGGGUAACACUCAAAACUGCACUUUAAAGUGGGCCUAAAAGCAGCCAUCUUUAAAAAAGCGUCAUAGCUUAACCGAGCCUUAUAAAUUCAAAAAUUUACACAGACCCCUUUAAUAAUACUGAGAACUUCUAUAAUCCUAUAGAACCUUUUAUGCUAAAACUAAUAACAAGAGAAAAUCCCUCUCCCAAUGCAAACCUAAGCCAGCAAGAACCCCUCACUGACAAUUAACAGAUAAAGAAGUAGCAACUACCCAAGAAAACUCUACCCACAUCAACUGUUAACCUAACACUAGAGCAUUUCAAGAAAGAUUAAAAGAGAAAGAAGGAACUCGGCAAACACUAGCCCCGCCUGUUUACCAAAAACAUCGCCUCUUGCCAUCAUAAGAGGUCCAGCCUGCCCAGUGACUUUAUUUAACGGCCGCGGUAUUCUAACCGUGCAAAGGUAGCGUAAUCACUUGUCUUCUAAAUAAAGACUAGUAUGAAAGGCACCACGAAGACUAAGCUGUCUCCUUUCUCCAAUCAGUGAACCUAAUCUCCCCGUGAAGAAGCGGGGAUCCUACUAUAAGACGAGAAGACCCUAUGGAGCUUAAAACAUCAUAACAUUUGCCACCACCUGCAACCACCCCGGUCUACCUAUUAACAGCAUUCUGAUUAUAUGUUUUUGGUUGGGGUGACCGCGGAGAAAAACUUAUCCUCCACAGUAAGGGGCCUCCCCCCAAGCGAUAAGUCACAACUUUAUGCAUCAAAAUUUGACAUUUAUUGACCCAACAAAUUGAUUAACGAACCAAGUUACCCUAGGGAUAACAGCACAAUCCACUUUGAGAGCCCAUAUCGACAAGUGGGCUUAUGACCUCGAUGUUGGAUCGGGAUAUCCUAGUGGUGCAACCGCUACUAAAGGUUCGUUUGUUCAACGAUUAAAACCCCACGUGAUCUGAGUUCAGACCGGAGCAAUCCAGGUCAGUUUCUAUCUAUAAAGCGCUAAUUUCAGUACGAAAGGACCAAAAUAGCAUGGUCUAUGCCCCCUGUAAACCAUAUUUAAUCAUUUUUAGACCCCCUCUUAAAAAAUAAUUAACCCUCCCACCCACCUCAAGAAAGAGCA